GAAGUUCCUUCGGGAAUGGAUUAGCGGCGGACGGGUGAGUAACACGUGGGUAACCUGCCUCAUAGAGGGGAAUAGCCUUUCGAAAGGAAGAUUAAUACCGCAUAAUAUUGUAGUAUCGCAUGAUGCGGCAAUUAAAGGAGUAAUCCGCUAUGAGAUGGACCCGCGUCGCAUUAGCUAGUUGGUGAGGUAACGGCUCACCAAGGCGACGAUGCGUAGCCGACCUGAGAGGGUGAUCGGCCACAUUGGGACUGAGACACGGCCCAGACUCCUACGGGAGGCAGCAGUGGGGAAUAUUGCACAAUGGGGGAAACCCUGAUGCAGCAACGCCGCGUGAGUGAUGACGGUCUUCGGAUUGUAAAACUCUGUCUUCAGGGACGAUAAUGACGGUACCUGAGGAGGAAGCCACGGCUAACUACGUGCCAGCAGCCGCGGUAAUACGUAGGUGGCAAGCGUUGUCCGGAUUUACUGGGCGUAAAGGGAGCGUAGGUGGAUAUUUAAGUGGGAUGUGAAAUACUCGGGCUUAACCUGAGUGCUGCAUUCCAAACUGGAUAUCUAGAGUGCAGGAGAGGAAAG
RNAcentral lists this ribosomal RNA (573 nucleotides) under uncultured Clostridium sp. RNAcentral describes it as "bacterial SSU rRNA". It matches the Rfam family "Bacterial small subunit ribosomal RNA", at positions 71 to 661 of the family's 1533-position model. Lineage: Bacteria; Bacillati; Bacillota; Clostridia; Eubacteriales; Clostridiaceae. RNAcentral also lists the same sequence under 1 other name. The record is from RNAcentral.